CCUACGGGUGGCAGCAGUGAGGAAUAUUGGUCAAUGGUCGGGAGACUGAACCAGCCAAGCCGCGUGAGGGAGGAAGGUACUGAGUAUUGUAAACCUCUUUUGUCAGGGAACAAUAACUGGGACGCGUCCCCGGAUGACUGUACCUGAAGAAUAAGCAUCGGCUAACUCCGUGCCAGCAGCCGCGGUAAUACGGAGGAUGCGAGCGUUAUCCGGAUUUAUUGGGUUUAAAGGGUGCGUAGGCGGUCUGUUAAGUCAGUGGUCAAAGGUCGGGGCUCAACCCCGGCCCGCCGUUGAAACUGGCAGUCUCGAGUUGGAGAGAAGUAUGCGGAAUGAGCGGUGUAGCGGUGAAAUGCAUAGAUAUCGCGCAGAACUCCGAUAGCGAAGGCAGCAUGCCGGCUCCACACUGACGCUGAGGCACGAGAGCGUGGGUAUCGAACAGGAUUAGAUACCCUUGUAGUC
RNAcentral lists this ribosomal RNA (459 nucleotides) under uncultured bacterium. Its description in RNAcentral is "partial 16S ribosomal RNA". It matches the Rfam family "Bacterial small subunit ribosomal RNA", at positions 338 to 795 of the family's 1533-position model. The record is from RNAcentral.